This 458-nucleotide ribosomal RNA is filed under the name uncultured bacterium. Its description in RNAcentral is "partial 16S ribosomal RNA". It matches the Rfam family "Bacterial small subunit ribosomal RNA", at positions 29 to 507 of the family's 1533-position model. The record is from RNAcentral.
AACGAACGCUGGCGGCAUGCCUAACACAUGCAAGUCGAACGAGACCUUCGGGUCUAGUGGCGCACGGGUGCGUAACGCGUGGGAACCUGCCCUUAGGUUCGGAAUAACUCCCCGAAAGGGGUGCUAAUACCGGAUAAUGUCUUCGGACCAAAGAUUUAUCGCCUUUGGAUGGGCCCGCGUUGGAUUAGCUAGUUGGUAGGGUAAAAGCCUACCAAGGCGACGAUCCGUAGCUGGCCUGAGAGGGUGAUCAGCCACACUGGGACUGAGACACGGCCCAGACUCCUACGGGAGGCAGCAGUAGGGAAUCUUCCGCAAUGGGCGAAAGCGUGACGGAGCAAAGCCGCGUGAGUGAUGAAGGUCUUCGGAUCGUAAAACUCUGUUAUUAGGGAAGAACAAAUGUGUAAGUAACUAUGCACGUAUUGACGGUACCUAAUCAGAAAGCAACGGCUAACUACGUG